AAUUUAUUGUUUAUUUUUUUUUUUUUUUUUAUUUUUAAUUUGUAUAAUAUAUAUACUAAACAUAGUUGUUUUAUUAUUAAUAUUAAAAUAAGUUG
RNAcentral lists this transfer RNA (95 nucleotides) under Lecanora strobilina. RNAcentral's name for it is "tRNA-Ser". Lineage: Eukaryota; Fungi; Ascomycota; Lecanoromycetes; Lecanorales; Lecanoraceae. The record is from RNAcentral.